GUAGGUGGCAAGCGUUGUCCGGAAUUAUUGGGCGUAAAGCGCGCGCAGGCGGUCCUUUAAGUCUGAUGUGAAAGCCCACGGCUCAACCGUGGAGGGUCAUUGGAAACUGGGGGACUUGAGUACAGAAGAGGAAAGCGGAAUUCCAAGUGUAGCGGUGAAAUGCGUAGAGAUUUGGAGGAACACCAGUGGCGAAGGCGGCUUUCUGGUCUGUAACUGACGCUGAGGCGCGAAAGCGUGGGGAGCAAACAGGGAUUAGAUACCCUGGUAGUCCACGCCGUAAACGAUGAGUGCUAAGUGUUAGGGGGGUUUCCCGCCCCUUAGUGCUGCAGCUAACGCAUUAAGCACUCCGCCUGGGGAUACGGCCGCAAGGCUG
RNAcentral lists this ribosomal RNA (373 nucleotides) under uncultured organism. RNAcentral describes it as "partial 16S ribosomal RNA". It matches the Rfam family "Bacterial small subunit ribosomal RNA", at positions 527 to 896 of the family's 1533-position model. The record is from RNAcentral.